This 637-nucleotide ribosomal RNA is filed under the name uncultured bacterium. Its description in RNAcentral is "bacterial SSU rRNA". It matches the Rfam family "Bacterial small subunit ribosomal RNA", at positions 202 to 842 of the family's 1533-position model. The record is from RNAcentral.
UAAAGAUUCAUCGCUGAUAGAUAGGCAUGCGUUCCAUUAGGCAGUUGGCGGGGUAACGGCCCACCAAACCGACGAUGGAUAGGGGUUCUGAGAGGAAGGUCCCCCACAUUGGUACUGAGACACGGACCAAACUCCUACGGGAGGCAGCAGUGAGGAAUAUUGGUCAAUGGGCGUAAGCCUGAACCAGCCAAGUCGCGUGAGGGAUGAAGGUUCUAUGGAUCGUAAACCUCUUUUAUAAGGGAAUAAAGUGUGGGACGUGUCCUAUUUUGUAUGUACCUUAUGAAUAAGCAUCGGCUAACUCCGUGCCAGCAGCCGCGGUAAUACGGAGGAUCCGAGCGUUAUCCGGAUUUAUUGGGUUUAAAGGGUGCGUAGGCGCCCUUUUAAGUCAGCGGUGAAAGUCUGUGGCUCAACCAUAGAAUUGCCGUUGAAACUGGGGGGCUUGAGUAUGUUUGAGGCACGCGGAAUGCGUGGUGUAGCGGUGAAAUGCUUAGAUAUCACGCAGAACCCCGAUUGCGAAGGCAGCCUGCCAAGCCAUGACUGACGCUGAUGCACGAAAGCGUGGGGAUCAAACAGGAUUAGAUACCCUGGUAGUCCACGCAGUAAACGAUGAUCACUAGCUGUUUGCGAUACAGUGUAA